Molecule: long non-coding RNA, 1216 nt
Filed under: Hordeum vulgare
Lineage: Eukaryota; Viridiplantae; Streptophyta; Magnoliopsida; Poales; Poaceae
Description: long non-coding RNA (HVUL_LNC020353)
Source: RNAcentral
CUAGACUUAAUAAAGUGAGUACUCGAAACUACUUUGAGUAAAAGGGAGCAAGAGCCACAUUAGUGUCAGCUUGCCUAUAAAGAUAUUGCAUAUACUUCUAUGAGGAUCGGGCUAUUCUUGUAAAAUUACUGAACUAAAAACAAGCAGGUUAAUUUGGGCAACUUUGCCAAGCCUCUCGAGUAGUCUCUUCACCCCAUCAUGAACAUGUGAUAACUUCUAAAUGAGGAAAAGGAGCACUUCAUCUUUUUUUCAUUUUUAUUAAUGGCACCAACAAAUAAGCCAAUAUACAUUGUUUAUAUUCAUACGCAUUCAACAAGAAAAGUGAUCGAGUAUUAUUUUGUUGAAGUACAUAACACUAUUAAAUACUGCUGAAUAGACCAUUAUACUAGGAGUAAAUUGGUCACAUCAAUGAAUUUUCUUUGGUAUAAAUCACUUGCAAACAACAAAAUUUGCUAUUGAGCAGAAGGCUUAUGUGUGUCUUCAUUUUAGAUCAAUGAGUGCUUGCCUUGGUGUAUAUCAAAAAGGGUGUACGUUUCUUUUACAACUUCUUCCUGUUAAUAGAAGCAAUGACAAGGCUCACGCACUAUAGUUGACACAUUCGAGCAUGAAGAACCAUAGCUACAUGAUCACAAAAGCAAUGUUAAUGAUGAUGCAUUAUAAGGCUAACACCCUACUCGUGAAUAUUAGGUAGAUGACACCAUCAAUAUGGAAACUUCCCAAAAUGAACACGUGGUUUUGACACAUUUCACUGGAGAAAAGUAAAUUCCAAGAACUUAGCUUCUUGAAAGCAAGAUCUAGAUAAGGGUCCUAGUUAUGUAAGAGGAUCCAAAAGAUUAAACAUUGCUUCAAGUCACACACGAAGCUUCAAGUCCAUAAAGGCAACUUGUAAAUGUAUUUGAUGGAUUGUUGGAUAAUACAUGACCCCCUCAAAGUGCAAUAUUAUGUUUCCUUAAACAUUAAGAUUCAUGCCAAUCAAUGGUUCGAGCUACAUGCGUGAAUGGUUUGUCUUUGGUGCACUUUCAGCCAAGAGAACGCUGCCCCAUGGGCAAUAUUCAAAAGGGAACUUGAAGUGUUCGAGCUCUCAAACGACAUAUGUACGUAGUAUACUAGUCUCUUGAAUCCGGCCCGUCCUAUAUAGCGUUUGUAUUACUUAUAUAGAAGCUUUGUUGAGUACUCCUCCCAAUGGGCCUACCCAUGUGACAAUUGUUGUGUUUCA